GGCACGCCUUAUACAUGCAAGUCGAACGCAGUAGCAAUACUGAGUGGCAAACGGGUGAGUAUAAUGUGGGAAUCUGCCUUUUGGUUUGGAAUAACACGGGGAAACCUGUGCUAAUACCGGAUAAGCCUUCACAGGGAAAGUUUUAUACGCCGAAAGAUGAGCCCGCACUUGAUUAGUUAGUUGGUGAGGUAAUGGCUCACCAAGACAACGAUCAAUAGCUGGUCUGAGAGGACGAUCAGCCACAUUGGGACUGAGACACGGCCCAGACUCCUACGGGAGGCAGCAGUAAGGAAUCUUGCACAAUGGGGGAAACCCUGAUGCAGCGAUGCCGCGUGAGUGAAGAAGGCCCUUGGGUUGUAAAACUCUUUCGUCGGGGAAGAAAAUGACUGUACCCGAAUAAGAAGGUCCGGCUAACUUCGUGCCAGCAGCCGCGGUAAUACGAAGGGACCUAGCGUAGUUCGGAAUUACUGGGCUUAAAGAGCUCGUAGGUGGUUAAAAAAGUUGAUGGUGAAAUCCCAAGGCUUAACCUUGGAACUGCCAUCAAAACUUUUUAGCUAGAGUAUGAUAGAGGAAAGUGGAAUUUCUAGUGUAGAGGUGAAAUUCGUAGAUAUUAGAAAGAACACCAAAUGCGAAGGCAACUUUCUGGAUCAUUACUGACACUGAGGAGCGAAAGCAUGGGUAGCGAAGAGGAUUAGAUACCCUCGUAGUCCAUGCUGUAAACGAUGUGUGCUAGACGUUGGAAACAUAGUUUUCAGUGUCGCAGCGAAAGCAUUAAGCACACCGCCUGGGGAGUACGACCGCA
RNAcentral lists this ribosomal RNA (802 nucleotides) under uncultured Pelagibacteraceae bacterium. RNAcentral describes it as "bacterial SSU rRNA". It matches the Rfam family "Bacterial small subunit ribosomal RNA", at positions 41 to 890 of the family's 1533-position model. The record is from RNAcentral. Lineage: Bacteria; Pseudomonadati; Pseudomonadota; Alphaproteobacteria; Candidatus Pelagibacterales; Candidatus Pelagibacteraceae.